RNAcentral lists this ribosomal RNA (264 nucleotides) under uncultured bacterium. RNAcentral describes it as "partial 16S ribosomal RNA". It matches the Rfam family "Bacterial small subunit ribosomal RNA", at positions 793 to 1055 of the family's 1533-position model. The record is from RNAcentral.
GUCCACGCCCUAAACGAUGCAUAUUUGGUGUGGGCAGUUCAUUCUGUCCGUGCCGGAGCUAACGCGUUAAAUAUGCCGCCUGGGGAGUACAGUCGCAAGGCUGAAACUCAAAGGAAUUGACGGGGGCCCGCACAAGCGGUGGAGCAUGUGGUUCAAUUCGACGCAACGCGAAGAACCUUACCUGGGCUCGAACGGCUGGUCAACGGCGGUGGAAACAUCGCUACCCCGCAAGGGGGUCCAGUCGAGGUGCUGCAUGGCUGUCGU